Molecule: ribosomal RNA, 194 nt
Filed under: uncultured Pseudomonadota bacterium
Lineage: Bacteria; Pseudomonadati; Pseudomonadota
Description: uncultured proteobacterium partial 16S ribosomal RNA
Rfam family: Bacterial small subunit ribosomal RNA
Source: RNAcentral
UUACGGGAGGCAGCAGUGGGGAAUAUUGCACAAUGGGGGAAACCCUGAUGCAGCCAUGCCGCGUGUGUGAAGAAGGCCUUCGGGUUGUAAAGCACUUUCAGCGAGGAGGAAAGGUUGGUAGCUAAUAACUGCCAGCUGUGACGUUACUCGCAGAAGAAGCACCGGCUAACUCCGUGCCAGCAGCCGCGGUAAUA